Molecule: ribosomal RNA, 253 nt
Filed under: uncultured bacterium
Lineage: Bacteria
Description: partial 16S ribosomal RNA
Rfam family: Bacterial small subunit ribosomal RNA
Source: RNAcentral
UACGGAGGGAGCUAGCGUUGUUCGGAAUUACUGGGCGUAAAGCGCGCGUAGGCGGCUUUGUAAGUUAGAGGUGAAAGCCCGGGGCUCAACCCCGGAAUUGCCUUUAAGACUGCAUCGCUUGAAUCCGGGAGAGGUGAGUGGAAUUCCUAGUGUAGAGGUGAAAUUCGUAGAUAUUAGGAAGAACACCGGUGGCGAAGGCGGCCCACUGGAUCGGUACUGACGCUGAGGUGCGAAAGCGUGGGGAGCAAACAGG